GACGAACGCUGGCGGCGUGCUUAACACAUGCAAGUCGAGCGGAGCGGCCAACGGGCGGGUAACGCGUUAGUAACUGCCCCCCUCUCUGGGAUGACAGUUGGAAACGGCUGCUAAUACCGGAUAGCGGGGUAUGGCUCGGGGCCAAUCAGCUUGUUGGUGGGGUAGUGGCCUACCAAGGCGACGACGGGUAGCCGGCCUGGGAGGGCGACCGGCCACAUUGGGCUGAGUGACGGGCCAAACUCCUACGGGAGGCAGGAGUGGGGAAUAUUACACAAUGGGGCCACGCGUGUUGCGGCAACCCGCGUGCGGGAUGCCGUCCUUCGGGUUGUAAACCGCUUUCAGCCAUGACGCGGUAGUGGCAGAAGAAGCACCGGCUAACUACGUGCCAGCAGCCGCGGUAAUAC
RNAcentral lists this ribosomal RNA (404 nucleotides) under uncultured bacterium. RNAcentral's name for it is "partial 16S ribosomal RNA". It matches the Rfam family "Bacterial small subunit ribosomal RNA", at positions 28 to 526 of the family's 1533-position model. The record is from RNAcentral.